RNAcentral lists this ribosomal RNA (272 nucleotides) under uncultured beta proteobacterium. Its description in RNAcentral is "partial 16S ribosomal RNA". It matches the Rfam family "Bacterial small subunit ribosomal RNA", at positions 226 to 490 of the family's 1533-position model. Lineage: Bacteria; Pseudomonadati; Pseudomonadota; Betaproteobacteria. The record is from RNAcentral.
GCGGCCGAUGUCUGAUUAGCUAGUUGGUGGGGUAAAGGCUUACCAAGGCAACGAUCAGUAGUUGGUCUGAGAGGACGGCCAACCACACUGGGACUGAGACACGGCCCAGACUCCUACGGGAGGCAGCAGUGGGGAAUUUUGGACAAUGGGCGAAAGCCUGAUCCAGCCAUGCCGCGUGAGUGAAGAAGGCCUUCGGGUUGUAAAGCUCUUUUAGUCGGAAAGAAAGAGUUGCAAUGAAUAAUUGUGAUUUAUGACGGUACCGACAGAAAAAG